GGAAGACGGUGUGAUUAUUAGGAUUUGGCCUAAAGAAUAGAUUGAAGCAGAAGACACACUUCAAAAGAAUGUGUUCCCAGUCUCAAGACCUCUCCGGGGAGUCUCACAAGUGUCAAAUUCAUCCUGUGAUCCCUGCUGAGAUAUGGCCAAAUGUAAAGGCCAGGACCAGCUGGGUGUUUACAUGGAUAUAAAUAACACCACAAACCCGGUCAAUUAACCUCUUUGCUGCUUGGUUUAAGUGAGGUCCACAACCUGCCUACUGAAGAGAAAGAAACUCCCUCAAUCCUGCCCAGAGGUUAAAGGAAACUGGUUUGAGAGGAAUUUAAUUUGCUGUUCUGGGUUCACAACUCCAGCCCUAAUCCUGAUCAGCGCAGCAAGAAGGGCUACCAUAAUCUUGAAGGGUCCAUAUGAGAGACUGUGGGAGUGGAGUGUGGAUUGAGCCACUCAGCUCUCCCAAGCAGGGGAUGUCCUCUUGGUUAUUCGCGGACCUGCAUCAGCACUUCCUGGCACCUGGCAGGCAGCAGUACAGAGCUGGUGAAGGAGGAAUGAAGGAGGAAGCCGUGUUGCCCUGAUGAUGGUUCGGGGGUGCCAGUCUACACCACAAGGACCAGAUUCUCCCUAGAAAAGAGUGCAGAGCCGUGCUUGUUUGCCGUCAUUCAUCCAGCAGAGGUCUCUCUUGCCCACCAUAUGCUUGUGUGUGUGUAUUCAGUACCAGGGGCGGGACUAUGAGGCUGCAGAAUGAAGAAAUACGGACAAAGACUUCAGGCCUGAGGGACUAAGGAGAGAAGAAUCUGUGGCUUCGGAGCAGGGCCUUCUCCUGAAGCCACAGGACAGACCAAGGAGGAAUCAUGCUGCCCCAUGGCCAACUUCUGAUAUAACACCAAAGAAGGCAGGUGUGGGUUUUCCAUACUGAGGAAGGCAAUCUGGUGAAGAUGAAGCUGCAUCAAAAAAGACACAUUAAAAAUAAGACCCUCAUACACUGUUGGUGGGAAUGUUAACUAGUACAAUCACUACAGAGAAUGGUUUAGAAGUUCCUCAAAAAACUAAAAAUAGAGCUACCAUCUGGUCCAGCAAUCCCACUGCUGGGUAUGUACCGAAAAGAAAGAAAAUCAGUAUAACAAUUCUGCAUGAUCUGCACAUGUACCCCAGAACUUAAAAUAUAAUUAAAAAAAAAAAGAAAGGAAAUCAGUAUAUCAAAGAGAUAUCUGCACUCCCAGGUUGUUGCAGACCAUUCACAAUAGCCAAGAUUUGAAGGCAAACUAUGUGUCCAUCAACAGAUGAAAGGAUAAAGAAAACAUGGCAUAUAUACUCAAUGGAGUACUAUUCAACCAUAAGAAAGAAUGGGAUCCUAUCAUUUGCAACAACAUGAAUGGAACUGGAGAUCAUUAUGUUAAGUGAAAUAUGCCAGGCACAGAGAGACAAACUUCCUAUGAUCUCUCUUAUUUGUGGGAGCUAAAGAUCAAAACAAUUGAACUCAUGGAGAUAGAGAGUAGGAGGAUGGUGACCAGAGGCUGGGAAGGGUAGCGGAAGGUAAGUGGGAUGGUUAAUGGGUAAAAAAAAUAAUUAGAAAGAUUGAAUAAGACCUAGUACUUGAUAGCACAACAGGGUGACUAUAGUCAGUCACAAUUUAAUGUACAUUUAAAAAUCACUAAAAGAGUCUAACUGGAUUGUUUAUAACACAAAGGAUAAAUGCUUGAGGGGAUGGAUACCCAUUUUCCAUGACGUGAUUAUUAUGCAUUGCAUGCCUGUAUCAAAGUAUCUCAUGUAACCCAUAAAUGUAUACAUCUAUUAUGUAUGCACAAAAAUAGAUAUACCUAUUAUGCACUCACAAUAAUUUAAAAAAUAAAACAACCCUUUUUGACUACUCUAAACCUCUCAGCGGCUGAACACUGAUAUUUAAAUUAAAUAUUUAAAAGAUCCACUUUCACUCUGCUUCCUUUCUAUCUUUUAAAAAAUAUAUUAGCCUUUUUAAAAUGAUUUUAUUUUUUGGAGAAGUUUUAGGUUUACAGCAAAACUGAGCAGAAAGUAUAGAGAGUUCCCAUAUACCUUCUGCCCCACAUGCAUACAGACUCUCUCACUAUCAACAUCCCCACCAGAGUGGUACAUUUGUUACAACUGAUGAACGCACACUGGUACCCGAGGUCCGUAGUUCACCUUAGGUUUCUCUCUCAGUGUCCAUACAUUCUAUGGGUUUGGACAAAUUGUAUAAUGACAUGUCUCUACCAUUGCAGUAUCAUACAGAGUAGUUUCACUGCCCUAAAAAUCCUGGGUUGUCCACCUAUCCAUUCCCUCUUCCCCCUAACCUUUGUCAACCACUGAUCUUUUUACUGUCUCCAUAGUUUUGCCUUUUCCAGAAUGUCAUACGGCUGGAAUUAUACAGCAUGUAGCCUAUUCAGAUUGGUUUCUUUCACUCAGUAAAAUGCAUUUAAGUUUCCUGUGCAUCUUUUCAUGGCUUAAUAGCUCAUUUCUUUUUAUUCCUAGAUAAUUUUCCAUUGUCUGAAUGUACUAUGGUUUAUUUAUCUAUUCACCUACUGAAGGGCAUCUUCAUUGUUCCAAGUUCUGGCAAUUAUGAAUAAAGUUGCUAUCAACAUUCAUGUGCAGAUUGAUUGA
Callithrix jacchus (white-tufted-ear marmoset) is the source of this 2610-nucleotide long non-coding RNA. RefSeq lists it as uncharacterized. Lineage: Eukaryota; Metazoa; Chordata; Mammalia; Primates; Cebidae. The record is from RefSeq and is a predicted model, not a curated record.